AACAUCAUUUUAUUUCUAUUAAACCCAAAAAUACCCUUAUUAGACCUAAUAAAAAUCAACCUUUCCUUCUCUUUUUUAAUUUCUCUAUUUCUCUCUCUCUCCCUCUCUUAUCCGCCGCCACCAUCGUCUUUCUCAAUUUUUUCAAUUUUCCAUCAUCCCCACCAUAGCCUUCUUUCUCCCUUUCUUCAUUGACCCAGCACUUCCUCUCUCUUUCUCUCUAUCUCUCUCUUUCUCUAUUUUCAUUAACUUGGAGGUAUUAGUUGCAGGAGUUUUUUAGAUCGGAUCUUUGUGUGGGCGCGGCAGGCGGCGGUGGUUUUGGUCGCUAGGGACGGCGAGCAGCCGUGGUUUUGGUUGCUGGCGGGCGGCGGUGGUUUCGAUCGCGGCAGGCGGCGAGCGGUGGUGGUUUUGGUUGUUGGGGGCGGCGGUGGUUUUGGUCGUUCGGGGCGACAACGGUUUUCGUUGAUGGGGCAGAGCGAUGGUGGUUUUGGUCGGUGGGGGCGGCAACGGUUUUGGUCGAUGGUGUCGGUGGUGGUUUUCUUCGAUGACGACAGUAAUUUUUUUGUUAGAAUUUGAUGUUGGGUUUGGAGAAGGGAAAGGCUAAUUAAGAUCGAAAGUGAAACAUAGAUGAAGAGGACGGAGGUGGAGGUGGUGGUGGUGGCGGAUCUAGAGUUUCAUAUUGGAUGAGUGCCAAUGACUACGGGUGUUUAUGAAUUACUAUGAGUGUAUACGAAUGGGUAGCGACUAGGGUUCAAAACGAGAGUAUGUGACUACGGAUUACUAUGGUUCCUAUAGGUGUCUAUAGUCGACUACGACCUAUUUUGUUUUUUAAACAUUCACAAUUUUCAAUAUCGUAAAUUAUAGUAUACCAUAGUACACCAUAGUAUUUUAAAAUCUGCUGUUUUAUUUAACAAAAACGAGAAAAAAAAAACGUAAUUUUCAGUAAAACAUAAAAAAUAGAUUAAAAAAUAAACUUGCUUAUAAUAAUGUAAAAAAAUGCUAGAGUGAAAAACG
RNAcentral lists this long non-coding RNA (1011 nucleotides) under Erythranthe guttata (spotted monkey flower). Its description in RNAcentral is "long non-coding RNA (EGUT_LNC003142)". The record is from RNAcentral. Lineage: Eukaryota; Viridiplantae; Streptophyta; Magnoliopsida; Lamiales; Phrymaceae.